GACCAAGGGCCAUUCCACUACUCUCUUCCUCUCAUUCCCGUAAAACCCUCAAGGAACAAAAAAAAAAAUGAAGAACACCAUUCUCUAAUAGUGGUUAGGAAGCAAGAAAAUCGGAAAAGAAGUGCUAGAGCAGCCCCGAAUUGGUGAAGAAUCUAAGCAAUUGGGCCAUCAAAUUGAAGUAUAGGAGAAGAUCUAUUGAAGUCAACUAGGGAUUAAGUUGGCUGUGAUUAUGCAGGUGAUUACUGAUGUCAUAAAACACUAAUGUUGGGUGAAUGAAGUGUAGAUAACUUUUGCUACUAAUAUGUGUAACAUGACUUGUAUUUGUGGUAGUAUCUAUUUCCGGCUUGGUAGUGUUUUGGAAGAUCCUUGACUUACUUUUGGACUUAUUUGUAUAAUAUUAGUUUAUAUCUGUUAAGUUGUAUUUAAAUUUUCCAACAACACUUUAAAUUUGCAUUUAUUCCCACCCCUAAGCCCUCGCUUAGGGUCAAAUCCAAGUAAUAGCUCGUCUGAUCCUCCCGGGCUUCCGCGUUAGACUAUUAUUCCAAUUUUUAAGCAGGUGUUUUGAGCGGGCUAUUACAUCGUUGUGCCAUGGUAAGCAAACCACUGCCUUGAAAACGAGAUUCGGUGCAACCGGGGUGCAUAAUUGUAUUCACCGAUUCGUUCACACACACACACACACACAAAUGAGAAGGGAGCUUAAAAUGAGAAGAAUGAGAAGCAAUCUUGUGCGUUCGAUGUGAUCAGAUCUAACAGCUCGCAAACGUUUACCUACCGCGUUUAGUAAUGGCAAAAUUGUAAAUAUUUCCAAAAAAAAAGAACCCUUUCUCUCGUUUCUCUCUCCUCGUGCUUCAGUCUCAUAGUCUCAUGAACUCCUUAUUCUCUGCUCUCCUUCGUGAUUCUCUCUCCUCACCGCUACCACUCCUCACCUGCUACAACCACUGCACCGCCACCAUCUCCACACUGCCAUAAUUACGCGUCAUCUCCUCUGCUACAAUUGCUUUGAUUUGAUCGAUGUUCUUCAUGCGGAAAAUACUGCAAUACUCAAUUAAUCACUUGAAUCUACAAUAAUUGAGCUUAAAAUUGAAGAUGAGGUGCUUCGAAGAAAGAAGUUCACAAAUUUGAGAAAAACACAAGUUUUAUUACAGGCUUUGAUGAUAAUGUUCAGCAGGCUGAUGUUUGUAUAAACAAUGAUUCCCUCUUUUUUUUUUGUUUCUCUACACCCCCAGCAGGCUGUAGGCUGUUAUGAUUACAUUGAAUGAGAUAAAAUGCAACAUUCCUCCAGGACAGUGUAGAACAGUUUCAUUUCACAUGGAAAUUUGAAAUUAUCUUGUUUCUGGUUGUAUCCACUUGAGGAAGCACUAGAACAAACACCUCUAAUAAUAUAUGGCUUGAGCCCUUUACCUGAGAGGUUAGUUAUUUUGUAACCUUAUUUUCUUUUGCUGAUAUAUUUUCCACAUUUUAUGGGAAAGCUUGCGAAGUUAACUUCUCGUUCCGUUAAUUUCUUAUACACAAACUUGCAACUGAAUAUUUCGACUUCUUUUUUACAAGGUUUUUUUUACUUAUUACUGUCACAUUUGGUCACUUGGGAUUUGAUUAUUUCUUUGCCAUAAGAGAAAGAGUGCAAUAAGACGACAAAAGAAAGUGAAGGGAUAUGACCUAUCCCACCCAAAUGAGUUCUUGCCUGAGCUGAAAGAAGAACAACAGCUUGCUCUUCCACCUAACGAAAGUGAACUGCAAAUCCAGACAAAACCUAUUGUACAAAUGGAAGUGUUUCUUUUGACCCAUCUCUUGAUAUAAGAAGACAGAAGAACGACACCACGCUGUCAAACUUAGGAUCUGUGAAGGAUAACAAAAGACAAGAUCUUAACUGUGCUGUGAAGGAAUACUUACUCUUGGCAGGGUAUCGUCUGACUGCAAUGACAUUCUAUGAAGAGGUUAUGGAUCAGGAAAAUAGAUACACCAUGUAACUUUGUUGCCUUGUUUCAUGGAAUGCAUAUGUAUGAUUGUGUGAUGCUAUCACUGCCUUACUUGGUAGCUUCAACUUGCCACUCAGUACUUCGGAUCUUGCCGCCGCCAAACUAAUAAGAUUUUGGGACUGAUCUCCACCGUCGUCGUCUCACUAAAGGCUACAGAUCGACUCAUCUCGACCGCGAAUCACAAAACUCUUCAGACUCGUAUCCACCGUGUCGUCUCACUAAAGGCUACGUGUACUUGAAAAAUUAGAAAUAUUCUCUCCGUGGAUUAAUAAGGAUCCACAGAAUACAGAAGUUGGAGGUGAAUUAUUUUCGACGCCAUUGACCUGAAACACCAUCUAGGGGAUCAUACUUAUGUCUCAGUAACUGAUAGUGGUUACUGGCAGAUAGAGCUAGAAGGUCUUGACAUUGCAAACAGUUCAACAGGUCACUGUUCGGCAGAAUACUGCAUCAUGUGAAGAGAUGGCUACAACAAUGUCUACGGCAGAAUCUGUAGCUCUUAAAGGACUACCUCAAUGCAUUGUUACUGUGAUAGCUGAGUUUGCCAGAUUCAGCAAGACUUUGAUAUUAUACUGGAGCCAUGUCCCAUGUUUGCUGAAGCCAUCCUUCAAGUAAGAAUCAGUACCCUGGGGUGCUCCUAAUAAGCUUCUUGGAGCUGAUGGCAGCUGGAUAAGGCACUGUGUCAUGUUCCUGAGUGGCUGACCUCAUGAGAUAAUAAAAUCAACCUUCAGAAGUGACAGAGAUGCCAGCUGCUCCUGUACACCCUUUCCACUCCAAGAUGAACAUUCGAAGAGGGGUACUAGAAGAAGAAUGUGCAGACAUAAUGCAGCACUUCUCCCGACUCAAAAGGAGGAAGGCAAAGGAAAAGGAAAAGGAAAAGGAUAUAUCGUCAUCUGAUGAAUCAGGCCAACGGUUUAGGUUUGCUUGAAAGGUUGAACCUGAUUUAUAUUCUUGUCUGAAGAUAUUGGGAUUAUGUGUGUCUGCUAUAUAAGUUGUCAAAUGUUUUCGGUUUCGCGUGGAAAAUAUCAAAUGUCUGCUAUAUAAGGUAGCUUAUUGAAUGUUUGGCACGGCAGUUAACCUGUCCUAUCACUAUUUAGGUGGUUUGUUUUUGUAAACAUAUGAUGGUUGAUUUAUAUGUGAAAAUCAAAGUUUCUUGGAA
Long non-coding RNA from Spinacia oleracea (spinach), 3132 nucleotides. RefSeq lists it as uncharacterized. The record is from RefSeq and is a predicted model, not a curated record. Lineage: Eukaryota; Viridiplantae; Streptophyta; Magnoliopsida; Caryophyllales; Amaranthaceae. The transcript has 15 exons.